AUACGGCUCUGGGGACGAGAGGACCGCAGCGCGCCUUCUUGGCAUUGGCUUCGGCCUUUUCCGCGCUAAGGAUUCUGGCUUAAUGGCUUUAAGCGACCCGUCUUGAAACACGGACCAAGGAGAACACUCGCACACAUGUUAGAGUUC
RNAcentral lists this ribosomal RNA (147 nucleotides) under Diversispora epigaea. The record is from RNAcentral. Lineage: Eukaryota; Fungi; Glomeromycota; Glomeromycetes; Diversisporales; Diversisporaceae.